Molecule: ribosomal RNA, 292 nt
Filed under: uncultured bacterium
Lineage: Bacteria
Description: partial 16S ribosomal RNA
Source: RNAcentral
GGACUACCGGGGUAUCUAAUCCUGUUUGCUCCCCAUGCUUUCGUGCCUCAGUGUCAGUAUCUGUCCAGAAGGUCGCCUUCGCCACCGAUGUUCCUUCCAAUAUCUACGCAUUUCACCGCUACACUGGAAAUUCCACCUUCCUCUACAGUACUCUAGCCACACAGUUUCAGGCGCAAUCCCCAGGUUAAGCCCGGGACUUUCACACCUAACUUAUGCAACCACCUACGCACCCUUUACGCCCAGUAAUUCCGAUUAACGCUCGCACCCUCUGUAUUACCGCGGCUGCUGGCAC